This 463-nucleotide ribosomal RNA is filed under the name uncultured bacterium. RNAcentral's name for it is "bacterial SSU rRNA". It matches the Rfam family "Bacterial small subunit ribosomal RNA", at positions 29 to 506 of the family's 1533-position model. The record is from RNAcentral.
AUGAACGCUGGCGGCGUGCCUAAUACAUGCAAGUCGAGCGCCCCUUUAAGAGGUGACAAUCAUUGAUUGUCGGUUCCUAUGGGGAGCGGCGGACGGCUGAGUAACGCGUGGGAAUCUGCCCCAAAGUGAGGGAUAACGCACCGAAAGGUGUGCUAAUACCGCAUAUGAUCUUCGGAUUAAAGCCUUCGGGCGCUUUGGGAGGAGCCUGCGUACGAUUAGAUAGUUGGUGAGGUAAAGGCUCACCAAGUCGACGAUCGUUAGCUGGUCUGAGAGGAUGACCAGCCAGACUGGAACUGAGACACGGUCCAGACUCCUACGGGAGGCAGCAGUAAGGAAUCUUCCACAAUGGGCGAAAGCCUGAUGGAGCAACGCCGCGUGCAGGAUGAAGGCUUUCGGGUCGUAAACUGCUUUUAUGAGUGAAGAAUAUGACGGUAACUCAUGAAUAAGGGUCGGCUAACUACGU